AGAGCGAACGCUGGCGGCAGGCUUAACACAUGCAAGUCGAGCGCCGUAGCAAUACGGAGCGGCAGACGGGUGAGUAACACGUGGGAACGUACCUUUUGGUUCGGAACAACCCAGGGAAACUUGGGCUAAUACCGGAUAAGUCCGUAAGGAGAAAGAUUUAUCGCCAAAAAGAUCGGCCCGCGUCUGAUUAGCUAGUUGGUGAGGUAACGGCUCACCAAGGCGACGAUCAGUAGCUGGUCUGAGAGGAUGAUCAGCCACAUUGGGACUGAGACACGGCCCAAACUCCUACGGGAGGCAGCAGUGGGGAAUAGUUGGACAAGUGGGCGCAAGCCUGAUCCAGCCAUGCCGCGUGAGUGAUGAAGGCCCGUAGGGUUGUAAAGCUCGUUUCGGCGGGAAGAUAAUGACCGGUACCCGCAAGAACGAACGCCCCGGACUAACCGUUCGGUACGCCGAGCCGAGGCCCGAC
Molecule: ribosomal RNA, 466 nt
Filed under: uncultured soil bacterium
Lineage: Bacteria
Description: bacterial SSU rRNA
Rfam family: Bacterial small subunit ribosomal RNA
Source: RNAcentral